GAGAGAAAGAGAGAGAACAAUGAUUUUUUAAUAAAGUUGCUGAAUAUAGGAUUUUCUUCAGUGUUGUAUAUGAAGCAAUUAAUAAUUAUUCAGUAAUCAGUAGCAACUAGAAACCAUGAGCUGCUAACGAUGUAGUUGUAUAACCUGGAGAAAUUACAAUUGGUGGUGGCAUCAGACUUUGAUUAUAGUUAGCGUUCAUGGUUUAUUUCUAAACUCCUCAAAUUCUAUAUAUGCCAUUGCUCUAAAACCAUAAAUUGCCUUACAUGAUGGAUGUUUCACAUUUCAUUCAAACUUUUUAGACAAUAAGAAGUGUAUUUUAGGGCAUACCUCAACCGCAUAUUGUACUUUGUUAUGCCCUGGUUCAUUUGAUUACUGGGCUGUAUGUUAUAUUUUAUUAGGUUGCAACUUUAUCUCUUUGUUAUCGUUUACUACGUUUGCUUUAUAAUGUCUUUUUCCCUCUAAAUUGAAUGGCUUGAAG
Molecule: unclassified non-coding RNA, 478 nt
Filed under: Hevea brasiliensis (rubber tree)
Lineage: Eukaryota; Viridiplantae; Streptophyta; Magnoliopsida; Malpighiales; Euphorbiaceae
Source: RNAcentral